CAGUAGCCGCGGGAAUACAGAGGGUGCGAGCGUUAAUCGGAUUUACUGGGCGUAAAGCGUGCGUAGGCGGCUUCUUAAGUCGGAUGUGAAAUCCCUGAGCUUAACUUAGGAAUUGCAUUCGAUACUGGGAAGCUAGAGUAUGGGAGAGGAUGGUAGAAUUCCAGGUGUAGCGGUGAAAUGCGUAGAGAUCUGUAGGAAUACCGAUGGCGAAGGCAGCCAUCUGGCCUAAUACUGACGCUGAGGUACGAAAGCAUGGGGAGCAAACAGGAUUAGAUACCCGUGUAGUCCCUGUCUCUUAUAC
RNAcentral lists this ribosomal RNA (301 nucleotides) under uncultured bacterium. RNAcentral's name for it is "partial 16S ribosomal RNA". It matches the Rfam family "Bacterial small subunit ribosomal RNA", at positions 509 to 807 of the family's 1533-position model. The record is from RNAcentral.